GCUGAAGGCGGGCCGGAUCUGGUGGUUCUGGAACGGGCGCUGCUGGAGGCGGGGUCUGACCGGUUGAAGGUCGGGGCGUUUUCGGCGGCGUCCAAUGUCAGUGGAAUUGUGACGGACCCUGAUCCGGUCAGCGCCUUGCUGCGACGGCAUGGGGCGGCUGUGGUGUGGGAUUAUGCCGGAGGUGGCCCGUAUCUGCCGAUCGACAUGCGGGCCGGGACACCGUUUCAGAAAGAUGCUGUUGUAGUCUCUCCUCAUAAAUUUAUUGGCGGACCCGGGGCAUCGGGUGUGCUGAUUGUGCGGAAAGGGGUGGUAGGGAUGUCGCGGCCGGUUUUUCCGGGCGGCGGCACGGUCCGGUUUGUCUCGCCCUGGGGGCAUGCAUACAGCGACGAUCUGGUGUCGCGUGAAGAGGCGGGGACGCCGAAUGUUGUGGGCGAUAUUCGGGCCGCGCUGGCGUUUCUGGUGAAAGAGGCGAUCGGGCAGGAGGUGAUGGACCGGCGGCAUGAUGAGUUACGGCGUCGGGCGCUGGCGUGCUGGUCGCGAAACCCGAAUAUCGAUGUUCUGGGAAAUGCGGGGGCAGACCGUGCUUUGCCGGUC
RNAcentral lists this transfer RNA (594 nucleotides) under Acetobacter oeni. Lineage: Bacteria; Pseudomonadati; Pseudomonadota; Alphaproteobacteria; Acetobacterales; Acetobacteraceae. The record is from RNAcentral.